UGCAAGUCGAGCGAACCCUUCGGGGUGAGCGGCGGACGGGUGAGUAACGCGUGGGUAACCUGCCCUGUACACACGGAUAACAUACCGAAAGGUAUACUAAUACGAGAUGAUAUAUAAAAGUUGCAUGACUUUUAUAUCAAAGCUUUUGCGGUACAGGAUGGACCCGCGUCUGAUUAGCUAGUUGGUAAGGUAACGGCUUACCAAGGCGACGAUCAGUAGCCGACCUGAGAGGGUGAUCGGCCACACUGGAACUGAGACACGGUCCAGGCUCCUACGGGAGGCAGCAGUGGGGAAUAUUGCACAAUGGGCGAAAGCCUGAUGCAGCAACGCCGCGUGAGCGAUGAAGGCCUUCGGGUCGUAAAGCUCUGUCCUUAAGGAAGAUAAUGACGGUACUUGAGGAGGAAGCCCCGGCUAACUACGUGCCAGCAGCCGCGGUAAUACGUAGGGGGCUAGCGUUAUCCGGAAUUACUGGGCGUAAAGGGUGCGUAGGCGGUCUUUCAAGCCAGAAGUGAAAGGCUACGGCUCAACCGUAGUAAGCUUUUGGAACUGUAAGACUUGAGUGCAGGAGAGGAGAGUGGAAUUCCUAGUGUAGCGGUGAAAUGCGUAGAUAUUAGGAGGAACACCAGUAGCGAAGGCGGCUCUCUGGACUGUAACUGACGCUGAGGCACGAAAGCGUGGGGAGCAAACAGGAUUAGAUACCCUGGUAGUCCACGCCGUAAACGAUGAGUACUAGGUGUCGGGGGUUACCCCCCUCGGUGCCGCAGCUAACGCAUUAAGUACUCCGCCUGGGAAGUACGCUCGCAAGAGUGAAACUCAAAGGAAUUGACGGGGACCCGCACAAGUAGCGGAGCAUGUGGUUUAAUUCGAAGCAACGCGAAGAACCUUACCUAAGCUUGACAUCCUAUUGACCUCUCCCUAAUCGGAGAUUUCCCUUCGGGGACAGUGGUGACAGGUGGUGCAUGGUUGUCGUCAGCUCGUGUCGUGAGAUGUUGGGUUAAGUCCCGCAACGAGCGCAACCCUUGCCUUUAGUUGCCAGCAUUAAGUUGGGCACUCUAGAGGGACUGCCGAGGAUAACUCGGAGGAAGGUGGGGAUGACGUCAAAUCAUCAUGCCCCUUAUGCUUAGGGCUACACACGUGCUACAAUGGGUGGUACAGAGGGUUGCCAAACCGUGAGGUGGAGCUAAUCCCUUAAAGCCAUUCUCAGUUCGGAUUGUAGGCUGAAACUCGCCUACAUGAAGCUGGAGUUACUAGUAAUCGCAGAUCAGAAUGCUGCGGUGAAUGCGUUCCCGGGUCUUGUACACACCGCCCGUCACACCAUGGGAGUUGGGGGCGCCCGAAGCCGGUUAGCUAACCUUUGGAAGCGGCCGUCGA
Molecule: ribosomal RNA, 1371 nt
Filed under: uncultured bacterium
Lineage: Bacteria
Description: bacterial SSU rRNA
Rfam family: Bacterial small subunit ribosomal RNA
Source: RNAcentral